GAAUGCAUGUUUUUUUAUUAAAUUUUUUUAAACAGCGUGUCUAAAAUUCAACAUACCAGAAAGCAGGCAGCCAGACAUUAAGGUGUAUGACCAGUCAGACACAGAAGUUGACACAGAGGUUUUUGAAGAAAUAGUGAAGGAGUCACCAGGAAAUCUGAGAAUCAUGCUGGGCAAUGGAUUUGAUGCGCAAUGCUGAGUCAGCUGCUGAAGUUGAGAAUGGCUGGGACAGUGACAUGUCUGCCAUCUUGCUGCUGCUACAUCUGCUACCACCAUCUGCACAAGGUAGAAAGAGGCCGGGAAAGCUUUCUGCGUAUCAAGCUGUAGAUCAGCUCAUCAGAUUUCAAAAGGUUGGAACCAGUGUGCAGCAGCAUCUAGACAACAUCAACCAAAGCAGUCAUCCCUAACUUCUUGCCCAGGGAUCCACACAGAGCACCAUUUACUCCUACUUCAUUGUGGUUGACAAGCAUGCACUUCCAUGCAAGGCAACAGGUUCAGUUGGAGCUUUUGACGAACUCUUUAAAGCCCAAUAUGUCUUUGGUACGUCAUACAGUUCUUCCCUGAGCAGCUUUUUCACUUUUGUCCAAACAACCAUCUAUAACAUCGAAAUGGGGGAAACAAAGGAGACUCCUAGGGUUGCGGGCAAGAAUGAUGCGUUAGUUGAAAUAAAGCUAUGAAGUGUUUUCUUUGCAAUAGUGACCAUGGAAGUCCAAACAACCUUGUUUAGCACUUUAAGGUAAUUCAUGGGCUUUGUACAGGCAGGACUCUUUUUCUGAAGUGUGGACAAGAAGGAUGCUCACGUUCUUUUGGUAGUUUUUCUGGUUUAAGAAAGCAUCUUAAUAAGUGGAAGCAGUUUAGUUGAAUCUGAAGAUUGUUCAAGACAUUAAAGUGUUAGAGAGCGAUGUUAUUAAAAUUCCAUAAUACAAUGGUUAUGUUCGUGGCACUGUAGUACCGGUUACUGGGGAUAAUUUGGGUUUGCAUAGUUUGUUUGGAUUGGUGGAGUCUUUCAGUGCAAGGUACUGUUGCAGGUUCUGUUUAGUGGAAAAGGAGGAUUUUCAGACAGAAUUCUCUGAAGAUACUUCCAAAGUAGUUUUGUGCAACAAAGGUAUUCACACUGCUCACUGUCAAGUAAUAGCUUGUAAUCCAUCCCUUCCAUAGGUUUUUGGUGUGAAAAAUUCAUGCAUAAUAAAUUUAUUGAGUAUUGUUUCGGUCAGAGACAAGGCAAUGUGUUUGCAAUGUAAAUUCAAUGACAUUGAAAUGCCUUAUUAUUUUACAAUAAAUUGUGAGUUCUGUGA
Long non-coding RNA from Silurus meridionalis, 1292 nucleotides. RefSeq lists it as uncharacterized. The record is from RefSeq and is a predicted model, not a curated record. Lineage: Eukaryota; Metazoa; Chordata; Actinopteri; Siluriformes; Siluridae. The transcript is spliced from 3 exons.